RNAcentral lists this ribosomal RNA (253 nucleotides) under uncultured bacterium. RNAcentral describes it as "partial 16S ribosomal RNA". It matches the Rfam family "Bacterial small subunit ribosomal RNA", at positions 524 to 776 of the family's 1533-position model. The record is from RNAcentral.
UACGAAGGGGGCUAGCGUUGUUCGGAAUUACUGGGCGUAAAGCGCGCGCAGGCGGUCUUCCAAGUCAGUGGUGAAAGCCCGGAGCUCAACUCCGGAACUGCCAUUGAAACUGUUGGACUUGAGUACGAGAGAGGUGAAUGGAAUUCCCAGUGUAGAGGUGAAAUUCGUAGAUAUUGGGAAGAACACCGGUGGCGAAGGCGGCUCACUGGCUCGUAACUGACGCUCAGGCGCGACAGCGUGGGGAUCAAACAGG